GGUGGGUGCCUUGGCACCAGGAGCCGAUGAAGGACGUGGGAGGCUGCGAUAAGCCUCGGGGAGCUGUC
This 68-nucleotide ribosomal RNA is filed under the name Nocardia paucivorans. RNAcentral's name for it is "partial 23S ribosomal RNA". Lineage: Bacteria; Bacillati; Actinomycetota; Actinomycetes; Mycobacteriales; Nocardiaceae. The record is from RNAcentral.